GACGAGCGCUGGCGGCGUGCUUAACACAUGCAAGUCGAACGGAAAGGCCCUGCUUUUGUGGGGUGCUCGAGUGGCGAACGGGUGAGUAACACGUGAGUAACCUGCCCUUGACUUUGGGAUAACUUCAGGAAACUGGGGCUAAUACCGGAUAGGAGCUCCUGCUGCAUGGUGUGGGUUGGAAAGUUUCGGCGGUUGGGGAUGGACUCGCGGCUUAUCAGCUUGUUGGUGGGGUAGUGGCUUACCAAGGCUUUGACGGGUAGCCGGCCUGAGAGGGUGACCGGCCACAUUGGGACUGAGAUACGGCCCAGACUCCUACGGGAGGCAGCAGUGGGGAAUAUUGCACAAUGGGCGGAAGCCUGAUGCAGCAACGCCGCGUGCGGGAUGACGGCCUUCGGGUUGUAAACCGCUUUCGCCUGUGACGAAGCGUGAGUGACGGUAAUGGGUAAAGAAGCACCGGCUAACUACGUG
This 468-nucleotide ribosomal RNA is filed under the name uncultured bacterium. Its description in RNAcentral is "partial 16S ribosomal RNA". It matches the Rfam family "Bacterial small subunit ribosomal RNA", at positions 28 to 507 of the family's 1533-position model. The record is from RNAcentral.